UACGUAGGGGGCAAGCGUUGUCCGGAUUUAUUGGGCGUAAAGCGCGCGUAGGCGGCGCGGUAUGUCGUGCGUGAAAUCUCCCGGCUUAACUGGGAGGGGCCGUGCGAAACUGCCGGGCUUGAGGUCAGAAGGGGAAAGUGGAAUUCCGGGUGUAGUGGUGGAAUGCGCAGAUAUCAGGAAGAACACCCGUGGCUAAGGCGGCUCUCUAGUACGGUACUGACGCUGAGACGCGAAAGCGUGGGGAGCGAACAGG
RNAcentral lists this ribosomal RNA (253 nucleotides) under uncultured bacterium. RNAcentral describes it as "partial 16S ribosomal RNA". It matches the Rfam family "Bacterial small subunit ribosomal RNA", at positions 524 to 776 of the family's 1533-position model. The record is from RNAcentral.